Molecule: small RNA, 440 nt
Filed under: Arabidopsis thaliana (thale cress)
Lineage: Eukaryota; Viridiplantae; Streptophyta; Magnoliopsida; Brassicales; Brassicaceae
Description: putative long intergenic non-coding RNA
Source: RNAcentral
GGAGGAGUGAAAAACAAAAUUAACAAUCAAAAAGAAGUUAGUCAAAUGAGUCCUGUGGCCAUUCUGUUCAUAGUGUUUGGGGCAUUUCUCAUGUUUUUGUUCAUCUUGUGGCUCAUUCACUUUCUCUACCACAAAGCUAAGAAGGAUGGCAAGGAAAGCAUCGCCUGUCUUGGCAGCGGUUACGGUGGUGAUUUUGGCGGUUGACUUUAAUCUUACUCGUGCAUCGGUGCAUGGAAACGUGUAGUUUCAAUAUUUUUGUUGGGAUAUAUAUAUAUAUAUAUAUUUAUCCAUACAAGUUCUUCGUUAAUUGUAUAUCUUUUGAAGUAUCAUUCAUAUAAUAGAUUGUUCUAAGUUCGUAAUUAUGCAAAAAUGGUCUAUGCAUGUGCUUGUGUAUAACCGGGAAAAUUGAUUGAAAGUCUCUUCUUAUUAGUCAACAGUUU